CCACAAAUAGACUUUUCUUUUACUAUUUUUCUUUAUGGUUAUUAUGAAUGUAGCUGCAGCACUCGCUGUUCGGGGGAGAAAAAGAAAGCUGAGCAAUAACUGACAUUGCCACCUGGCUGCAGCAGAUACACAAUUCCCUGGAAAAUUGAGAGGAAGAGGAGGCGACAGGACAGAUGAGUAAGAGGUUAGGCACAAGAUAUCUACCUCCAAUAGGAGCAUCAAAGUCUGGAGGCCUGAAGGAAAGACAAGCUGUGGAAUGGCAUGCAAGUUUUGGAUAAUUUAAGAUUUUUUUCCUCCAGCUCCAUGUGCCUGCUGCCGACUCUAUGAGGCUUGUCACAGAGCAGAGAUACGCCGCAAGUGGGAGAGGGGAUCUCAGAACGGCACCGAACUUAUCAAAGCAGCAUGCUUCGUCCCCGAGCUCCCAACACAAUGCCCUGCUUCACUUUUCUCAAUCCUCCUCUUCUUUUUUUUUUUUUUUUUUUCUUGAAUGGAAGAAAAAAAAUUACCCCAGGACUCCAGUCCUGGGGUAAUCUCACUUUUGCUUAUUUGCACACAAGUUAGCAGAGUAACCGGGCCACCGUCCCCUCCCACCCCUCCUGUUUCUUGCAUCCCCAGCCAAUUGCAUAAUCAAGGCCAGAACUCAUCAGCGAGAUGGCAGGAGAAGAAGCUCUAUUAAGCCGCAUCGUGUUCCAUCUGCUGUGUAAGAGAGCGAUAACGGUAUUUACAGUUUUUUGGCCAAAUUUCUGACUUCUGCUUACUUUAGGAAAUGUCAUGGAUUAAUUUCGACGCCGCGUCCAACUGAAGUGUUUGCCCUGAACAUCCCCCCCCUUCCCAAACCUCCAGUGGGAACAACAACUUUAUUGGAAGGGAAACGUGAAGAACAUGUGUCACGGAUAACAUUUUAAAUUUAAAAAGGCAAUGACUUCUCUCCUUUUCUUUUCUUCACUUGUUCUGGAUCAGACUUGCUCCCUGGUAUUUGAUCUUUUUUUUUCUUGUUCUGGAGGCUUGUCAGCAGUUGUUGGAUACUGUUUUUUCAACACCGUUUCUGUCAGAGGAUAAUUUGAGCUUUUAGCAAAAACAUACAUAUUAAAACCCAGAUUUGAAUAACAAAUACCGAUGUGAUUUGAUGUAGUUUUCUGGGUGAAAUCAAUCUACUUUUACUCUAAAUUAAUCAGCUACUGAAAGAUGCAUUACCCAUAGUUUGUCAUUUGGAACAAGACUCCCAUCUGCAACUUAUACACACACAGUCAUUAGAGGCGUUAUUGCAGCAUGCACCCAAACAGAGAAGAGAGACAUUCCUUUGAAAUCUAGAGCAGCUUCAUGUAAUGCUUUUCAGAUUUUUUUCAAUUCAUCUGUAUUUCUAUACACUUUUAUAUGUAUUCCUGGCUGAUUAUCUUUUUCAUUAUCAUGGAAAAAAUGUUCAUUAUAAGAAUGAGUCAUCCUGUGAGCAAUUUUUCCUCUGUUGGUUCCAGUAAAUGCAGAGUUCACACACCUAUCAAGUAUUUGACUUUCUCCUCAGUUUAUUAUGAGUUCUAUAGGAGUUUAAUAAUGAUCUGUUCAUGUCGUCCUGUCGUCCUCCAAGCAGAGAAACAUGUAAAACACAGGACACCAGCACUCUCCUGCUCCAGUUCUGCAACUACUCUAUGUAACUGUUGUAGUGAAGCAGCAUAUGUCCUAAUGGGCACAUGUUAUUUUAGAAAAAGUAAUUGUUUUCAUAGGACUUUGACUGUGUACAGCAACAAACGCCAAAAAAUAUGAUAAACAAUAGAUUGUACAGUUAAUUUCUAAUGAAAUGUCCCCGUUUCAAAACCUAAUUAUAGUGCAAUACAGCUGGUUGAUGCAAACCUUUGUAAGAUGUGAAAAGUUCUCUAUAAACUACAUUUUUCUCUGAUUUAUGUGUUAAAUAAAACUUUUCACUGAUGUUUAAUAGACAUUCUGAUUGUUUGUUGCUUAUUUGAAUGGGAACACUUGUUUAGUAUAAUACCAAGCACUAUAACAUUUACAGCCUUA
Non-coding RNA from Poecilia reticulata (guppy), 2010 nucleotides. NCBI's taxonomy places the organism in Eukaryota, Metazoa, Chordata, Actinopteri, Cyprinodontiformes, Poeciliidae. The record is from RefSeq and is a predicted model, not a curated record.